This 424-nucleotide ribosomal RNA is filed under the name uncultured Cryocola sp. Its description in RNAcentral is "bacterial SSU rRNA". It matches the Rfam family "Bacterial small subunit ribosomal RNA", at positions 974 to 1398 of the family's 1533-position model. Lineage: Bacteria; Bacillati; Actinomycetota; Actinomycetes; Micrococcales; Microbacteriaceae. The record is from RNAcentral.
CCAAGGCUUGACAUACACCGGAAAGCAUUAGAGAUAGUGCCCCCCUUGUGGUCGGUAUACAGGUGGUGCAUGGCUGUCGUCAGCUCGUGUCGUGAGAUGUUGGGUUAAGUCCCGCAACGAGCGCAACCCUCGUUCUAUGUUGCCAGCACGUAAUGGUGGGAACUCAUAGGAGACUGCCGGGGUCAACUCGGAGGAAGGUGGGGAUGACGUCAAAUCAUCAUGCCCCUUAUGUCUUGGGCUUCACGCAUGCUACAAUGGCCGGUACAAAGGGCUGCAAUACCGUAAGGUGGAGCGAAUCCCAAAAAGCCGGUCUCAGUUCGGAUUGAGGUCUGCAACUCGACCUCAUGAAGUCGGAGUCGCUAGUAAUCGCAGAUCAGCAACGCUGCGGUGAAUACGUUCCCGGGCCUUGUACACACCGAAGGGC